UUCAGUAUGUCAACCAGUCCUUUGUAACGACUCAGUAUUCUUUGAGAAUACUCCCUACGUUUUCGGUAUAACGGCUAAAUUACCUGUCGGAAUUAGGUUAGGUAGACUCCAAGCUCACAGCAUGACUGGGAAAGCUGUGAGGUACUCCAUCGUGAGUGGUGACUCAACAUACUUCGACUUGGAUACUACAACCGGCGAAAUCUAUGUUGCUCAAUCCUUAUCAAAAGACGUAGAAUCACUCGAGUUUGAAGCUCAGGCUGCAACUACAAAUGCCCAAGCCAGGGCUCACGUAUCUAUCUAUUGUAUCAAGAUAUAACGAGGAAAUGAAUUGAAUUGAAAUAUACAUGUAGUUUGCUUCUUUACAAUACUGUACAAAAGUAAUAAAUCCUUACUUUUACUUUUUCAUAACAAAUAAAUAAAUAAAUAAGAAAAACAGAUAAAAAAAAAACACCAACAACAGACAACACGAUUCUUUACAAUAGUAUACUUAUAAAAAGUGAUAAAUCCUUACUUUUACUUUUUUUCAUAAAAAAAAAAUAAAAAGAAAAAAAAAAGAAAAAA
This is a long non-coding RNA of Ruditapes philippinarum (Manila clam), 561 nucleotides long. RefSeq lists it as uncharacterized. Lineage: Eukaryota; Metazoa; Mollusca; Bivalvia; Venerida; Veneridae. The transcript is spliced from 2 exons. The record is from RefSeq and is a predicted model, not a curated record.